This 28-nucleotide non-coding RNA is filed under the name Cricetulus griseus (Chinese hamster). Lineage: Eukaryota; Metazoa; Chordata; Mammalia; Rodentia; Cricetidae. The record is from RNAcentral.
UAUAAGAUUCACUGUAAUUAUACUCAGC